AAGAAAUCAUAUUUUUAAUCUGUAUUCAGGCAAUUUUUGAACAACCUCUUCUUUUCCCCCAAAGGUAACCCCCAACUUUUUCCAUAAAACAAUAAAAUAGAACAAUGCCAGCCACACCUAAAAAGACUAAAUAAACUAUUAUACAAGCUCCAAGUUCAAUUAACCAAUAUGGAGAUCCAUCGUCUCUCAACUUUGAGGUUUCACCAUCCCUUGUAUCACCAAAAUACACAAGUUUCACUUAAUAUCACCUAAAAUCCCAAAUACACAAAUUUCUGUUAAUAUCACCUAAAGUCCCUCGGGUUAGAUUCUGUUGGGUACUCCAGUCAAAAACUAAUAUGCAUAUGCCUAAUCCACAUCCAGAGAAAAGUACUUUCUAAUUGUGGUUAAAACAUUACUGAUAAUUUUUUCAUUUUAUCUAAUUUUUUUCUUUAUCUUUGGACAUAUCAAAUACUGAAUUAUUUUUUUUAUCAUGUCUAAUUUAAGUAAUGUCAAGCUUCUGGUCGGAAUUUCCAUUGGAAACUGACUAAAGGGAC
Molecule: unclassified non-coding RNA, 533 nt
Filed under: Hevea brasiliensis (rubber tree)
Lineage: Eukaryota; Viridiplantae; Streptophyta; Magnoliopsida; Malpighiales; Euphorbiaceae
Source: RNAcentral